AGCAGGACCCUCCACACUUGGCGUCAGGCUGAGGCAGGACCUUCCACCUUUCCCACACCCCGCGGGUUUCGGGCAGGACCCACACUCCCCCGGCGCUCUCCAUCUUCUCCCCUGCUCCAACUUUGCCCGGGCUCCGUCGCCAUCCCCACGGUGCCCACGGUGCCGACCACCCCCAUCUCCCUGACGAGAUCCGCGGGCACGCGCGCGACUCUCCCCCCUCCCCUCCCCUCCCUUCAGGAGCGGCGCGGCCCCGCCCGGCGGGGAGGGGUGCGGGGGGAGGCGGGGCGGCACCGCCUUCGCCGGGCGGCUUUGGCGCGGAGCGGCGACAGCAGCCGUGACCUCCGACCCCUCCCGGCGCUGGCCAAUAAGAGCGCGGCUCGUCCCCGAACCCAAAAUUUCCACGUCGGCAAAAGUCAAGAUGGAGCGGGGCGGCGCGGGGCCGCGCGGGGCGGCGCGGGGCGCGGGCACCCGCACGGGACGGGACGGGACCGGCCCGGCCCGGCUGGGCUCGGCUCGGCUGGGCUCGGCUCAGCCGGGCGGAGGGGGGCGGACCUGUUGCGCUCGGCGGCGGGGCUGAGGGAAGCGCUGCGGCGAGCCGCGAGACGGGUCUGGUCUCCUGAAGCAAAGUUCUGUGACACUCCGACUCUGGUUACGAUAGCAGUCAGUGCACUACAGAACUUUGUCUCCGGGGGCUGCUGCUGCUGCCCCCCCAGCUGGACACGUCACGGCAGGCCCGGCGGAGCGGCCAGCAGAGGGGCUUUGAGGGCUGAGAAGGGACAGGCCACGAUCAGCUUCCUUCCACUUCAGUUGAAGUUGGAGUCUGGCAGCAGCACAAUGGAGGCCCAUCUCUCUUCAGAAACUUUGCACAGCCUCUUGACGUGUAAGCAGCCACGGAGCUCUUGUGAGGACGUAAUCAACCAAUGGGCUCUCGACAUAAUGAGCAUAACGUGA
Molecule: long non-coding RNA, 951 nt
Filed under: Anas platyrhynchos platyrhynchos (common mallard)
Lineage: Eukaryota; Metazoa; Chordata; Aves; Anseriformes; Anatidae
Description: lncRNA (ENSAPLG00000030195.1)
Rfam family: mir-148/mir-152 microRNA precursor family (bases 617-689)
Source: RNAcentral